RNAcentral lists this transfer RNA (67 nucleotides) under Fibla pasiphae. Its description in RNAcentral is "tRNA-Ser". The record is from RNAcentral. Lineage: Eukaryota; Metazoa; Arthropoda; Insecta; Raphidioptera; Inocelliidae.
AAUUAAUGAACUUGUAAAAGUAUAUGUUUUGAAAACAUAAAAAAGAGUAUUAAUCCUCUAUUAAUUU